AAGGGCGACUGAAGCGUCAAAAGCUCACCAUGUGAAUCUGCAGUGCUGAAUUGUGGUCUGGAGGCUCUAGCAAUUGGGCCAGGUCUUCUGGAAUGGGGCAGUUAACAGGGUGAAACUCCUGUGUGCCUGACCUUUUCACAGAGUCGAGUUGUUUGGGAUUGCAGCUCUAAGAGGGUGGUAAAUUCCAUCGAAAGCAAAAUAAUGGUGGAAGACCGAUAGCAAACAAGUACCGUGAGGGAAAGAUGCAAAGAACUUUGAAAAGAGAGUUAAAGAGUACCUGAAAUUGCUGAAAAGGAAGCAAAGAAAAUCAGUGCCGUUCUGUCAUAUUUCCCUGCUUGCUUGCGGUCAGGGUGCUGUGGCAAACUUAGUUUAGGUCAAU
RNAcentral lists this ribosomal RNA (379 nucleotides) under Pinnularia viridiformis. RNAcentral describes it as "eukaryotic LSU rRNA". It matches the Rfam family "Eukaryotic large subunit ribosomal RNA", at positions 85 to 481 of the family's 3401-position model. Lineage: Eukaryota; Bacillariophyta; Bacillariophyceae; Sellaphorales; Pinnulariaceae. The record is from RNAcentral.